UCUCUCUGCAAAGGUACUUGUCAAUUUCAAUUCUAUGUUCAUGUUUUUAAAUUUAAUUUAUACAGAUAGCUAUAUUUUAUAUAAAAAUUUAAUUGUAAUUGGUAGAAGUACUUUGAUUUUUAUUUCUUUGAUUGUGAUGAAAUCUGAUGAAAGGCUGAACCCUGGAUGCUCUUUUUUUGUGUGCCCUUUUCUGUAAAAAGUUGUUUCAUCUUACCUAGAAAGUGAAUUUACGGAUAACGGAUGAACCGUUUUACUGAAAUAUGGUCAUAGUAGCAUGUAUUUUCAAUUUUCAUUGAACUACAUGUUACCUUCACACAAUGACACUGAAAAAAUUCAGCCAACUCUUUUUCCUUUAUUCUUACAGUAGUAUUUUGUUCUCAAUUUCUCAAUAUUAAUACUUAUUUGCUCAUUUAAGUUCUCUCUGUUUGUAGAUAUCCUUUCUUUCUAGUUUGAGUUUGUGCCGUUACAUGGAUUCAACGGAUUGUAAUUACUCAAGUUAUGUGGCUCGCAGUGUAAAUCUUUUAUGCUGGAUUAUGCCGGGAAGGAAGCACAGAUAUAUUAUAUAUUGAUCGAUGUUAAUCUUUUAUUAAAUAUUUUAACAUACUUUUCAAUCAUUUUACACGAAAGUAUUUCAUAAUUAAUUAAUUGAUAAUUCUAACUAAUCCAAUAAAACAGUAUUUCUGAAUUAUUGUAAAGAAAAUUCACUUUUGCUUUAAUAUAGCUCGAAGAAUGAAGGAAAAAAAUAAGGGGGAAAUAUGAAUGCUCGUUGCUGCACUGACACACUUAAUUCUUCG
Molecule: long non-coding RNA, 794 nt
Filed under: Olea europaea subsp. europaea
Lineage: Eukaryota; Viridiplantae; Streptophyta; Magnoliopsida; Lamiales; Oleaceae
Source: RNAcentral